ACCCACCUUGUCGUGGUGGAGGAGCUUGCGGGCCUUUAACUAGGUCUUACCAAGCGGUCCCAACCUCGGUACUGACCUUAAGUGGUUGGUAUCGGAGCUUCCUCUGGUCUUGGCUGGCUGGAGGUGGCAGGUCGGAGGCAACCUACUCGCGAUGAGCAAAUGCUCUAAGGGAAGGAAAACCCUGACAAAAAACCCCUCAACUUCCAACUCGUCAAGGGGGUCACUUAGCACGGAUGUAGUUACGUGUCAACGAGGAUCCUGUAGAUACCUGGCGCCCUCUGCAGUACACAGCCUUCCCCGUGGUACGCUGCUCUGCCACGGGGUGACCACCCCUUCAUGCCCACUCGUGGGAACUAUAUGGAAACUAAAAAGAAACCAGGACCACCAACUGGCCAAUUGGUGGACGGGAGCCAACCCGUUAAAUUGGACGGCCUGGCAGACGCCGUAAAGUCUGCGACGAAGGAUCUAAUUUCUAAUCGAUCCAAUAUAGUCCUCAACCUGCUCAAUCGUCUAUCAACAAUCAGACCAAUUUCGUAAACAAGCCGAAUUAUUCAUCUCGCGCCCGUAAAAUGGUCAAAGUGUUGUAUGGACGCGAGUACAGCCACUACGGCCUUACCAGAAAUAAUAAUGUUACACUGUUAUGCACGUACUUCGCGACUAAUAAAAGGGAUCGUAGAUUCCCUAAUAGAUUCAAACCAAAUCAAAAUGAAACCUCGAGUAAUGACUUCCAUUCAGAUAAACGUAAAUUAUGUACUAGGUACACCUAUUAAAAAUGAACAGAUUAAAAUACAACCAUAUGACAAAAGCUCAAAUAAAAUUAAUGCGGUUCUCGAAGGUCUAGGCUUUGUGUGUAAUAAUGAUAAAAUAUAUACAGAUCGUGCAUCACAAAUACACUGUUAUAAUGUUAAUAAACAAUAUAAUACCGGAUACGGCACAAAAACUCAUACGUCACCUGCAAAGUCAAAAUUUUUGUCACAUCAUGUUUGGUAUCGCAAAGCCAUCUCCAAAUGGAUUGACAAACAUGGAAAGCACAAAGCAAUAGUGUAGAUUCCGGAAAGACUUCUUGUAGUGCUUGACGUUCUGCUGUACUAUCGUCUGUCAUGAAUACUAAAGCACCUAAAGGAAUGCCACCAACCUUUGAAACGCCAAAAAUAAAGUGAUACAAGAACCACUUUGAUCACAUGAACUUGUAGAGUCCACAAAAAUAAUGUCUUGGGAAAAAGGCAUUUUGUAAGCUCUCAUCAUAAGUGGAGUAAUAAUUACUACACAUAAUGAAAACUCACAAUGAACAGAACUACAGAAUAAGAAAACUUCAAAUUUCAAUUAUCUUGUAAAUAAUGAACUAAUGAGCUAUGAUAACUGACAAGUGAUAACGUAUCUUGCGCAAUGAGGGAUGUGGGUGCCAUACCCGUCUGACCGAAUUCAGUUACGGUUCGUAAAUACGUCGACCGGCUGCCGACGGCGAGUAGUGGGCGUGACUUAAACGCCGCACGCUUGCGGAAUGCGAAAACACUUAACAGCGCAUUCUCUCGGCCGUUGUAUACGUUUCACUUUACGUGUAGCGUCCUCUUAAUAUUAGGCCCACUGCAUUCAAAUUUAUUAUCAAUGUCAUCCACCAAUUUAUUCACUUGCAAAAAAAGUAGCUGAAAUAGUUGUUACCGAGACAGUGAAAGUAGAAAUUGAAAGGAUUUUUCAAUAAAAAGGUUAUUAUUAAUAUUAGCAGCGCGGCAAUUUUCAACUAGCACACCCCACUAGUUAGGCAAUCAUGCUAUAAAUCUGAAAAUAAAAACAACAAUUAAUGUAAAUCCCACAGUUAGCUAUUAUAAAUUAAUAACUACAGUAAUUAAUAAUUACGGUUAUUAGUUUAUCCUUUUUGAUCAUAACACUUGGUUAGUUUUUCUAAUGCACUUCGGCAUUUAUUUAAAUCAUCAGAAUUCGCUUUCGCGCAUUCUAUAAAACUUUUUAUUUCGUCCUCACAUGGUGGCUUAAUGUAUUUUGAUACCACUUUUUCCUAAUAAUAAAUAAAUUAUCAUUAUAAAUAAUAUAUUAUUUAUAAAUUUUUAAAUUAUUAUACAUACAACUAAUACUUUUGUGGUCUCGGCCACGAUGAUUUCAACAAUAUCCUUAGCCAGUGGUCGUCCUGUAUCAGUUUCCAUAAUUUUUUUAAUAUGAUUGCCUAAAAUAUUAAUUAACGCCGUAAGCUGAGUAAGAAGAAAAUAGUCUACCAAUAUAACAGGCAUCGAUACUGUACAAAAUAAAUAUAUUUAUAAAUUUAUUAGAUAUAAUAUACUUAUUUACAUUUAAUCUUAUUAUAUAUUAUUAUAUUAUUAUUAUACAGUGUCGCCACAGUGGCAUUCUCACCACUUUUGGAAGUAUCACUGGUCUAAGUCAUUUUCAGAAAUUCUCCGUAGAAUAGUUUAAACCAACUUUGGGAAAUAAUAUGUUUUUGUACAAAUACAAUUUUAAAAAAUUCCCUUUUAAUUUCUACACAUUGUUAAGAUGCGUCAUAAACUCAUAACUUUUGUUUUAAUAUUUUGGAAAUGGAACAUUUUAGAAUAUCGCACCCGAAUGCUACAAUAAUUAGCUUAAUUUUAGUUAGAUAUUAUUAUUCUAUAAAGCAUUCUAUAAAACUUUUUAUUUCGUCCUCACAUGGUGGCUUAAUGUAUUUUGAUACCACUUUUUCCUAAUAAUAAAUAAAUUAUCAUUAUAAAUAAUAUAUUAUUUAUAAAUUUUUAAAUUAUUAUACAUACAACUACGAGUUUUGUGGUUUCUUCAGCCACUUUUUCUGAGAAUGUUUUCAAAAUCAAUUUCAUUGAUUCCAUUAUAGAUCAGUUAUAAAAUUCUUAAUGGCCUAAAAUAUUAAUAAAAUUGUUAUUAACACAAACAAAUAAUAAAUAAAUAAAAUAUACAAAUAAAUAUAUAUAUUUUGUCUUAUCCGUGGUAUGAGUGAUGUGGGUGCCAUACCCGUCUGACCGAAUUCAGUUACGGUUCGUAAAUACGUGGCCCGAUCUUGGCACCGAUAGAAAUAAUAGGUUUGAGUGGUUUGACUUACGUGUUUUCAGGAUUGGGUGUUUUGACAGCUGUACUGCUAACUCUUAUACCCUCUUAAGUCUUCGUGGGCUUAAAUUUUAAAAUCUCAUUCGUCUAUUAAAUAUACAUUAAAUUACAUUUUUAUGUAUAAAUAUUGCAUAUUAUAUUAUAUUUUGUACGUUUUGUUUUAAGCAAAAAUUAUUUGACCUGCCUAUAAAUUAUGAUAUAAAAAUAAAUAAAUAUAAAAUAAGAAA
RNA transcript from Aphis gossypii (cotton aphid), 3284 nucleotides. RefSeq lists it as uncharacterized. The record is from RefSeq and is a predicted model, not a curated record. Lineage: Eukaryota; Metazoa; Arthropoda; Insecta; Hemiptera; Aphididae. The transcript is spliced from 6 exons.